AGGUGACUAUAGCAUCAGGGUUCCACCUCUUCCCAUUCCGAACAGAGAAGUUAAGCCUGAUCACGCCGAUGGUACUGCGUAACAGUGGGAGAGUAGGUAGUCGCCAUUUU
Molecule: ribosomal RNA, 110 nt
Filed under: Bacteroides fragilis
Lineage: Bacteria; Pseudomonadati; Bacteroidota; Bacteroidia; Bacteroidales; Bacteroidaceae
Also listed under: 2 other names
Source: RNAcentral